Molecule: long non-coding RNA, 2767 nt
Organism: Papio anubis (olive baboon)
Lineage: Eukaryota; Metazoa; Chordata; Mammalia; Primates; Cercopithecidae
Source: Ensembl
AAACAUUAUCUAGCGGAAGGCCUAAAAAAACUCCGAGGUAACUGGUGAUAUUUUCUAUUUUAAAUACUAGGGGAUUAAGGCGCAGAGGUGACUAAGGUUUACACAGCAGAAAGCUGCAGUGGCUAGAGUCAAUGCAGGUGAUUAUUAGCCCUGGACUAUUUCUGCCACUAUCAGGAUUUUCAACAAAAAACAGUACGUGUGACAAAAAUCCAUCUGUUUGUGUCUCUUUUUGAGUUACUUAACCUUUGAAUAUUCAACCUUUUGCCCUCUUUUGCUUUAUGUUUUCAUGCCAUCUUAUCUUCAAAGAAGGGGAAAUACUUAUCUUCUUUUGUUAGCCUUUGUAUCUAAGAACACGAAUGAAGUGUUUAGGGACAAUUGCUUUGACUUUCACAAGAAAACUCAGUGGCUAUUUUGGGUGACAGUAUGCUUUGCUAGCAGAUAGAAAUAGAGAAAAUCCGGCAUCUCAAGGUGAAAUGAGAGUAAACAGUUUCCAGAAUUUUCUUCCUCUCUCCUUCCUUAAUAAUUGCAAAUUGCCACUGCUUAUAACCAUAAUAGAAACUAGACAUGUCUCUUGGCCUUCCUCGAUGAAAAAAAUAAAAAAGAAAAGAAACUAGACAUGUCAUAGAAAUGUCACUUAUGAAAAAGAAAAAAAAAAUUCAAAGGAAUCUCACUUCUACUUUCAACAUCCCUUACCAAAUCCAGUUUCUAGGACACAAAUCAUUCGGCAACCCUCCUUCCAAUUUCUAAUCCUAUUUUAAUCAUUGAAAUGGGCAGAGUCAGAUUUUAUGUAUGACAACUAAUCCCCUAUGCAAAGUUAAAACUAAUUUUAGAGUAAACAAAAAGUUAACUUCAAAGAGCGAGGGGCUGGGCGCGGUGGCUCACACCUGUAAUACCAGCACCUUGGAAGCCGAGGCGGGCAGAUCACUUGAGGUCAGGAGUUUGAGACCAGCCUGGCCAACAUAGUGAAACCCCAUCUCUACUAAAAAUACAAAAAUUCUCUGGGCUUGGUGGCAUGUGCCUGUAAUCCCAGCUAUUGGGGAGGCUGAGACAGGAGAAUUGCUUGAACGUGGGAGGCGGAGGUUGCAGUAUGAACGGAGAUUGUACCGCUGUACUUCAGCCUCGGUGACAGACGGAGACUCUGUCUCAAAAUAAAUAAAAUAGAAUAAAAUUACGUUUGUAGGUUGAUUUCUGUUUCUGUUUGAUAGCACUGACUCAGACAAAUCAGGAUCUAGUUCCAGAAAUGGAGAGGGAUAGAUUCCUGAACAAAAUCAUGGUUUUUGUUUUUUUUGUUUUUUUUUAAGAAAGAGGAAGUAUUUUCUUUUUGAAAUAAUCAAUGCUUUAUAUUUCUGUACAGAUAUUUAACAGAGAGGAUGGAUGGAGGGCAAACAAUGAGAGGCUAUACAUUCACUGAGAACUAUUUAUGUGCAAAUGUGCUGUGCUCAGUGUUGUGGGGAAAAGAAAUUGCUGACCACGUAGGGGAGAUAAGAUAUGUAGGCAUGUGAGUGGUGAAGAUAAAGCCUGUAGAAUUUCAGACUUCAGAGAUAUUCUGUCUUGUGUGACAAUGAACGCUAGCUUGAUCUGGGCCUUGAAGGUAGAUGGGGUUUCAAUAAAAGAAGUCAGGUGGAGAGAGAUGGCUUGGGAGGCAUUCUAGGUGGAGAGAAAAGCACAGAGAAAAUGCUGAGGCAGGAAAGCAUAAACUGAAUAUUUUAGUUUAGCCGAAGCUGAGUGCUAGAGAGAAAGAAGACUGGGUCACACUGUUUUUUUUUUUUUUUGAGACGGAGUCUCACUCUGUCCCCCUGGCUGGAGUGCAGUGGCCGGAUCUCAGCUCACUGCAAGCUCCGCCUCCCGGGUUCAGGCCAUUCUCCUGCCUCAGCCUCCCAAGUAGCUGGGACUACAGGCACCCGCCACCUCGCCCGGCUAGUUUUUUUGUAUUUUUUAGUAGAGACGGGGUUUCACCGUGUUAGCCAGGAUGGUCUCGAUCUCCUGACCUCGUGAUCCACCCGUCUCGGCCUCCCAAAGUGCUGGGAUUACAGGCUUGAGCCACCGCACCCGGCCAGGUCACACUGUUAAAGGCCUUACAGCACCAAGGUGAAUCUUAGUAGCAGCUUUAUUAUGGGAUUCCCGAAGGGAACAUUUAUUAGAGGCAUAGGCAGCAGUAAAACACAUCUUAAUGUACUUUAGCAGAGGAGCUUAAUUAAGCUAGGUUGCACCUCUCCUAUUGCUCUUAGGAAGCAUUCACAGGUCAGAUCAGCAUAAUUUAGUGCUUGGGAGCAUGGUUCUAAUCCCACCUGUGCAAUUUAUUAGUUUUGAGAUUUUGGGCAAUUUAUUUAACCUCUCUUUGUCUCAGUUUCCCUACCUGUAAAAAUGGGAAUGAAGGCCGGGCGAGGUGGCUCAUGCUUGUAAUCCCAGCACUUUGGAAGGCUGAGGCGGGCCGAUCACUUGAGGUCAGGAGGUCAAGGCCAGUCUGGCCAAUAUAGCGAAACCUCGUCUCUACUAAAAAUACAAAAAUUAGCCGACCGUGGUGGUGUGUGCCACUUGGGAGGCUGAGGCAGGAGAAUCGCUUGAAUCUGGGAGGCAGAGGUUGCAGUGGGCCAAGAUUGUGCCACUGCACUCCAGCCUGGGCAACAGAGCAAGACUCCGUCUCAGAAAAAAAAAAAAAAAAAAAAAAGGAAUGAUAAUAGUGGUACCUACUUCAUAGAGUUUCAGAUUUAACUGAUUUAAUAUAUAUGUAACAGUAAGACUACACAGCGUCUGCACAUACAGUACC